UCCAACGAAGAUCAGAAGGCUU
This 22-nucleotide microRNA is filed under the name Picea abies (Norway spruce). RNAcentral describes it as "pab-miR11511". Lineage: Eukaryota; Viridiplantae; Streptophyta; Pinopsida; Pinales; Pinaceae. The record is from miRBase by way of RNAcentral.